RNAcentral lists this ribosomal RNA (253 nucleotides) under uncultured bacterium. Its description in RNAcentral is "partial 16S ribosomal RNA". It matches the Rfam family "Bacterial small subunit ribosomal RNA", at positions 524 to 776 of the family's 1533-position model. The record is from RNAcentral.
UACAGAGGGUGCAAGCGUUAAUCGGAAUUACUGGGCGUAAAGCGCGCGUAGGUGGUUUGUUGAGUUGAAUGUGAAAUCCCCGGGCUCAACCUGGGAACUGCAUGCAAAACUGGCAAGCUAGAGUAUGGCAGAGGGUGGUGGAAUUUCCUGUGUAGCGGUGAAAUGCGUAGAUAUAGGAAGGAGCACCAGUGGCGAAGGCGACCACCUGGACUGAUACUGACACUGAGGUGCGCAAGCGUGGGGAGCAAACAGG